Molecule: transfer RNA, 61 nt
Filed under: Qianguimon aflagellum
Lineage: Eukaryota; Metazoa; Arthropoda; Malacostraca; Decapoda; Potamidae
Description: tRNA-Cys
Rfam family: tRNA
About the family: Transfer RNA (tRNA) molecules are approximately 80 nucleotides in length.
Source: RNAcentral
GGCUUUAUAGUAUAAAAUACAUUGGAUUGCAAAUCUAAAAAUGUGGUAAACACUAAGGCUU